This is a small nuclear RNA of Nomascus leucogenys (northern white-cheeked gibbon), 107 nucleotides long. NCBI's taxonomy places the organism in Eukaryota, Metazoa, Chordata, Mammalia, Primates, Hylobatidae. The record is from RefSeq and is a predicted model, not a curated record.
GUGGUCGCUUCUGCAGCACGCACACUAAAAUUGGAACAAUACAGAGAGGAUUAGCAUGGCCCCUGUGCAAGGAUGACAUGCAAAUUUAUGAAGUGUUCCACAUUUUU